Molecule: small nucleolar RNA, 106 nt
Organism: Eutrema salsugineum
Lineage: Eukaryota; Viridiplantae; Streptophyta; Magnoliopsida; Brassicales; Brassicaceae
Rfam family: Plant small nucleolar RNA R71
About the family: R71 is a member of the C/D box family of snoRNAs containing the C (UGAUGA) and D (CUGA) box motifs.
Source: Rfam
AAUCCGUGGUGUGGACAAUCCCGCUCAUACUCCUUAAAACGCUCACAAGCUUCAUAAAAAGACUCGACCGGACCGUGCUAGAAACUUUGAAUUUUGUUUUUGGUUC